RNAcentral lists this ribosomal RNA (460 nucleotides) under uncultured bacterium. Its description in RNAcentral is "partial 16S ribosomal RNA". It matches the Rfam family "Bacterial small subunit ribosomal RNA", at positions 338 to 795 of the family's 1533-position model. The record is from RNAcentral.
CCUACGGGUGGCUGCAGUGAGGAAUAUUGGUCAAUGGACGAGAGUCUGAACCAGCCAAGUAGCGUGAAGGAUGACUGCCCUAUGGGUUGUAAACUUCUUUUAUAUGGGAAUAAAAUGUUCCACGUGUGGGAUUUUGUAUGUAACAUAUGAAUAAGGAUCGGCUAACUCCGUGCCAGCAGCCGCGGGAAUAAGGAGGGUCCGUGCGUUAUCCGGAUUUAUUGGGGUUAAAGGGGGGGUAGGUGGAUUGUUAAGUCAGUUGUGAAAGUUGGCGGCUCAACCGUAAAAUGGUAGUUGAAACUGGCAGUCGUGAGUACAGUAGAGGUGGGCGGAAUUCGUGGUGUUGCGGUGAAAUGCUUAGAUAUCACGAAGAACUCCGAUUGCGAAGGCAGCUCACUGGACUGCAACUGACACUGAGGCUCGAAAGUGUGGGUAUCAAACAGGAUUAGAUACCCCAGUAGUC